This 253-nucleotide ribosomal RNA is filed under the name uncultured bacterium. Its description in RNAcentral is "partial 16S ribosomal RNA". It matches the Rfam family "Bacterial small subunit ribosomal RNA", at positions 524 to 776 of the family's 1533-position model. The record is from RNAcentral.
UACAGGGGGCUCGAGCGUUAGUCGGAAUCACUGGGCUUAAAGGGUGCGUAGGCGGCUCGCCAAGUGCUUUGUGAAAUCCCACAGCUCAACUGUGGAACAGCAGGGCAAACUGGCGAGCUUGAGGCAGGUAGGGGCCGGAAGAACAGUUGGUGGAGCGGUGAAAUGCGUAGAUAUCGUUUGGAACGCCAAUGGUGAAAACAGCUCGCUGGGGAUGUGCCGACGCUGAGAUACGAAAGCCAGGGGAGCGAACGGG